This is a long non-coding RNA of Oncorhynchus tshawytscha (Chinook salmon), 409 nucleotides long. The record is from Ensembl. NCBI's taxonomy places the organism in Eukaryota, Metazoa, Chordata, Actinopteri, Salmoniformes, Salmonidae.
GGGUAGGGAGAGAGAGAUGAUGGGAGAGAGAGGGAGGGAUACCGGGAGGAAGGAGCAGGGAGAGAGAGAUGAUGGGAGAGAGAGGGAGGGAUACCGGGAGGAAGGAGCAGGGAGAGAGAGGUGAUGGGAGAGAGAGGGAGGGAUACCGGGAGGAAGGAGCAGGGAGAGAGAGGGAGGGAUACCGGGAGGAAGGGGCAGGGAGAGAGAGGUGAUGGGAGAGAGAGGGAGGGAUACCGGGAGGAAGGAGCAGGGAGAGAGAAGGCAGAAGAAAGAGAGGGAGGGAUACAGAGAGAGAGAGGGAGCGAGAGAAAUACAGGGAGAGAGAGGGAGAUACAGGGAGAGAUACAGGGAGAGAUACAGGGAGAGAUACAGGGAGAAAGGGGCAGGGAGAGAAAAGGGCAGGGAGAGA